CUUAGCGCUCAGUCAAUUUCCAUCCAUUAGAUCCUCAUGCUGUCAAAAGCCUAAAACUCAUGUUUGAAGAGCACCUAUAGUGGAAUAUAAAUGUGCCGAGAUAAGUAUCUUUUCUGAAUCUCGCAAUUUUGGUGGUGUACCUUGCAACAGCAUGCUUGUUGUUAUGGCUUUUUUUUUACUUUGGUUUAGAAGGCAACCCAGCUAAGAGAUAGAGUUUCAGUGACAUGAAGAGUGUGAAGUAAACCACCUAUCACCA
Long non-coding RNA from Daphnia pulicaria, 256 nucleotides. RefSeq lists it as uncharacterized. The transcript is spliced from 3 exons. The record is from RefSeq and is a predicted model, not a curated record. NCBI's taxonomy places the organism in Eukaryota, Metazoa, Arthropoda, Branchiopoda, Diplostraca, Daphniidae.